This 64-nucleotide transfer RNA is filed under the name Thermophis shangrila (Shangri-La hot-spring snake). Its description in RNAcentral is "tRNA-Tyr". Lineage: Eukaryota; Metazoa; Chordata; Lepidosauria; Squamata; Dipsadidae. The record is from RNAcentral.
AGGUAGUAUGGCCGAUUAGGCGGUAAUCUGUAAAAUUACACAUAGGACUCAGUCCUUGCUGCCA